RNAcentral lists this ribosomal RNA (497 nucleotides) under uncultured bacterium. RNAcentral describes it as "partial 16S ribosomal RNA". It matches the Rfam family "Bacterial small subunit ribosomal RNA", at positions 28 to 507 of the family's 1533-position model. The record is from RNAcentral.
GUUGAACGCUGGCGGCGUGCCUAACACAUGCAAGUCGAGCGAACAGACGAGGAGCUUGCUCCGCUGACGUUAGCGGCGGACGGGUGAGGAACACGUGGAUGACCUACCGAUAAGGCUGGCAUAACUUCGGGAAACCGGAUCCAAUACAGGAUAAGAUAGUGAACCGCAGGGUUCAAUGGAGAAAGAGGGUUUUGCUGUGACUAAUAGAGGGAUGCGCGCCGCAUUAGCUAGUUGGUAAGGUAACGGCCUACCAAGGCGACGAUGCGUAGCCGACCUGAGAGGGUGAUCGGCCACACUGGAACUGAGACACGGUCCAGACUCCUACGGGAGGCAGCAGUGGGGAAUCUUGCGCAAUGGGCGAAAGCCUGACGGAGCAACGCCGCGUGAGUGAUGAAGGUCUUCGGAUCGUAAAACCCUGUUAUUUGGGAAGAACAAAUGUGUAAGUAACUAUUCACGUCUUGACGGUACCUACACAGAAAGCCCCGGCUAACUACGUG